Molecule: ribosomal RNA, 253 nt
Filed under: uncultured bacterium
Lineage: Bacteria
Description: partial 16S ribosomal RNA
Rfam family: Bacterial small subunit ribosomal RNA
Source: RNAcentral
GACAGAGGGUGCAAGCGUUGUUCGGAAUCAUUGGGCGUAAAGCGCACGUAGGCGGUUUUGUAAGUCGGAUGUGAAAGCCCAGGGCUUAACCCUGGAAGUGCAUCCGAUACUGCAUGACUUGAGUCCCGGAGAGGGUGGUGGAAUUCCUGGUGUAGAGGUGAAAUUCGUAGAUAUCAGGAGGAACACCGGUGGCGAAGGCGACCACCUGGACGGAGACUGACGCUGAGGUGCGAAAGCGUGGGGAGCAAACAGG